RNAcentral lists this ribosomal RNA (404 nucleotides) under uncultured Lachnospiraceae bacterium. RNAcentral describes it as "bacterial SSU rRNA". It matches the Rfam family "Bacterial small subunit ribosomal RNA", at positions 355 to 776 of the family's 1533-position model. Lineage: Bacteria; Bacillati; Bacillota; Clostridia; Lachnospirales; Lachnospiraceae. The record is from RNAcentral.
UAGGGAAUAUUGCACAAUGGGGGAAACCCUGAUGCAGCGACGCCGCGUGAGCGAAGAAGUAUCUCGGUAUGUAAAGCUCUAUCAGCAGGGAAGAAGAUGACGGUACCUGACUAAGAAGCACCGGCUAAAUACGUGCCAGCAGCCGCGGUAAUACGUAUGGUGCAAGCGUUAUCCGGAUUUACUGGGUGUAAAGGGAGCGUAGACGGAGAAGCAAGUCUGGAGUGAAAGCCCGGGGCUCAACCCCGGGACUGCUUUGGAAACUGUUAUUCUUGAGUGCCGGAGAGGUAAGCGGAAUUCCUAGUGUAGCGGUGAAAUGCGUAGAUAUUAGGAGGAACACCAGUGGCGAAGGCGGCUUACUGGACGGUAACUGACGUUGAGGCUCGAAAGCGUGGGGAGCAAACAGG